CAACUUUCAACAACGGAUCUCUUGGCUCUCGCAUCGAUGAAGAACGCAGCGAAAUGCGAUACGUAAUGUGAAUUGCAGAAUUCAGUGAAUCAUCGAAUCUUUGAACGCACACUGCACUCUCUGGUAUUCCGGAGAGUAUGCUUGUUUGAGUAUCUGU
This 157-nucleotide ribosomal RNA is filed under the name uncultured zygomycete. Its description in RNAcentral is "5.8S ribosomal RNA". It matches the Rfam family "5.8S ribosomal RNA". From Rfam's summary of the family: 5.8S ribosomal RNA (5.8S rRNA) is a component of the large subunit of the eukaryotic ribosome. It is transcribed by RNA polymerase I as part of the 45S precursor that also contains 18S and 28S rRNA. Functionally, it is thought that 5.8S rRNA may be involved in ribosome translocation. The record is from RNAcentral. Lineage: Eukaryota; Fungi.